Tribolium castaneum (red flour beetle) is the source of this 104-nucleotide non-coding RNA. The record is from RefSeq and is marked provisional. Lineage: Eukaryota; Metazoa; Arthropoda; Insecta; Coleoptera; Tenebrionidae.
CUUCAUUGGGUCCAAGAAACGAAAGAAUUCGGCGAUUUUUGUCCUCUGAGUCUUAGGUUCCGGGAAUUGAGAUUGCGACUUCCGUCGAUGUUGUCCUGAAAUAC